AAAAUCCACUAGGGGUGCCAUUUUGGCUGAGAUAAGAUGCAUUUCUUGAUCCCUUUGAACCUGAACUGGUUAAUACCAGCGUAGGAAAGUGGAGUUGGCGACUA
Molecule: non-coding RNA, 104 nt
Filed under: Oceanobacillus iheyensis
Lineage: Bacteria; Bacillati; Bacillota; Bacilli; Caryophanales; Bacillaceae
Also listed under: 1 other name
Description: TPP sequence
Rfam family: TPP riboswitch aptamer (THI element)
About the family: Vitamin B(1) in its active form thiamin pyrophosphate (TPP) is an essential coenzyme that is synthesised by coupling of pyrimidine and thiazole moieties in bacteria. The previously detected thiamin-regulatory element, thi box was extended, resulting in a new, highly conserved RNA secondary structure, the THI element, which is widely distributed in eubacteria and also occurs in some archaea.
Source: RNAcentral